CUGGGAGGUGAAGCAAGAGGAGCAGAACUGAACCUGUGCUCUUCUGCAUUACCUGUUUUACCUGUUGCAUCUUCAUAUUCACAGGCUGCGGUCAGUGGAGAUGGGCAGCGGGUACAGUCACUCCUCCAGCGCUCCCUGUGCUCUCGCAGAGAUGACUGCUGGCCUCUGAGAGCUCCUCUGGAGCAGGGAUGAGUCACUGCCCAAGGGUAAACAGUGAAUACUAUGAUGACACUCACGUUUGAAAGACAGUGAGGUAGAACAAACAAGGUAAUUUCUUAAUAAAUAUU
This 287-nucleotide long non-coding RNA is filed under the name Parus major (Great Tit). RNAcentral's name for it is "lncRNA (ENSPMJG00000016908.1)". The record is from RNAcentral. Lineage: Eukaryota; Metazoa; Chordata; Aves; Passeriformes; Paridae.